AGAAGGAACCGACCGGAGAGAGCGCACAGCUCCAGCAGGAGCUUGAGACUCUGAAACAGGUUCACUCAUCCAUCAAAGCAUUGAACCAUAUGACUGAUACACUGUAUAAGAUGUUGGAAGUGGUCGUUAAAAACAGUAAUGACCUCAAAGGUUUGAAUGAAGGCUGGCAAAUAUUCUUUGGACAAAAAUGAAUUCUUCGCAUUUACCUCUAAACUGGCCAAAUGGAAGAGCACAGUACGGGGCUUGGUCCUUUUACAACAGACUAGGAAAAAAUACUGUCCCAGUCAUCUCUUAGCUAUGCCGCCCUACCACACAAUGCUUGUGCCUCUCAGUAGAUUUCUGAUGCUUCUGCAUGGAGGAACAUUGCAGUGUGUGUUUACUGUGUGUAUAGGGGUUCAGGGGCUGUUGGGGUUCACCAGAGC
Molecule: long non-coding RNA, 422 nt
Organism: Nanorana parkeri
Lineage: Eukaryota; Metazoa; Chordata; Amphibia; Anura; Dicroglossidae
Exons: 4
Source: RefSeq, a predicted model, not a curated record